Molecule: ribosomal RNA, 392 nt
Filed under: uncultured bacterium
Lineage: Bacteria
Description: partial 16S ribosomal RNA
Rfam family: Bacterial small subunit ribosomal RNA
Source: RNAcentral
AUACGGAGGAUCCGAGCGUUAUCCGGAUUUAUUGGGUUUAAAGGGUGCGCAGGCGGCCAUUUAAGUCAGCGGUUAACUCGUGGGGCUCAACCCCAUUCUGCCGUUGAUACUGGGUGGCUUGAUUGCGGUCGAGGUUGUCGGAAUUCGUCGUGUAGCGGUGGAAUGCAUAGAUAUGACGAAGAACACCGCUUGCAUAGGCAGCUGACCAGAUCGCAAAUUACGCUCAUGCACGAAAGUGCGGGGAUCGAACAGGAUUAGAUACCCUGGUAGUCCGCACAGUAAACGAUGAAUACUUGUUUUCGGCGAUAUAAUGUCGGAGGCAAAGCGAAAGCGAUAAGUAUUCCACCUGGGGAGUACGCCGGCAACGGUGAAACUCAAAUGAAUUGACGGGG